Lathyrus oleraceus (garden pea) is the source of this 321-nucleotide long non-coding RNA. RefSeq lists it as uncharacterized. NCBI's taxonomy places the organism in Eukaryota, Viridiplantae, Streptophyta, Magnoliopsida, Fabales, Fabaceae. The record is from RefSeq and is a predicted model, not a curated record. The transcript is spliced from 2 exons.
UCAAACGCGUUUAACAUUUUAGACUAAGCCAAAGACUCCGUCGCACUGGAAAUCGCCUUCGGAGGUACCAGAGGUCAAAACCCGGAGUUGAAGAAGACAAUGAUGAGAAGAUGAAGGAAUCAACACUAUUCAGGAAGCUAGGGUGAUUUGGCAUGUCAUUGUCAUACCUCAAUUUUGUCUAGGCAUUUCAACCUUUUGAUAAAUUUGAUUUCAUUUUUAAUUUGAAUUAGUUGUGCAGCAUGACACGCAUUUCAUCAUGAAUAAUACUUAAAGUAUCAGUCAGAAUGAAUUCUUGAAUAUACAGACAAACUGGUUGAAUCA